GAAGAGGGUUCCGGUGGUGCCCUGGCGGCCAUCGCUGGAGGCCGCGGUUGCUAUGGGAGACCUGGCGCCCGGCCUGGGAGCGACAGGAAGGCGAGCUGUGGCCGCGACGCCUUCCGAGAAAGCAGGUCGCUCUCGGAACGGACGUUUGUGUGUGGUUUCUGUGGAAGAUCCGCUCCGCGGCGGCGUGGGAGGAGCAGGGCCUGGAGGGGUUGCGGCCAAACGCGGGCUUCGGUGUUGGGACACGGACAACGCUGGCGUCCGGGCGCUGCUGGGCAGCGGGGUCCGGGGAUGACGUCUGGGGCUGCCCGUGCCCACUUUUCCAGAUUGCUCUGAAUGUCCUAGUGAGCUGCUCCCGUUGGGUAGGCUCCUGCGCCUCAACCGCGCUCGGUACUCGACGUUUAUUAUCAGGGAAUUCUCGGCUGCAAGAUGGGAAUUCCACCCCCACCCCAUUUUGCAGAGGAGGAAACUGAAACCGUCCUUUUGUCAGAUGAAAUGCAAUGUUCAUUCCAGGAAAAUAGGGACUCAAGGCCGGUGCGGUGGCUCACCCCUCUAAUCCCAGCACUUUGGGGGACAGAGACCGGAAGAGCGAUUAAGCCCAGGAGUUCGAGACCAGCCUGGGCAACAAAGUGAGAUCCCCGUCUCUACAAAAAUAAAAAUUAAAAAAGUAGCCGGGCGUGGUGGCGCGCACCUGCAGUUCCAGCUACUCAGGAAGCUGAGGCGGAGGAGUGCUUGAGCCCAGGAGGUG
This 745-nucleotide long non-coding RNA is filed under the name Homo sapiens (human). Its description in RNAcentral is "HSALNT0341534". The record is from RNAcentral. Lineage: Eukaryota; Metazoa; Chordata; Mammalia; Primates; Hominidae.